This 82-nucleotide small nucleolar RNA is filed under the name Sapajus apella (tufted capuchin). Its description in RNAcentral is "Cebus apella (Tufted capuchin) Small nucleolar RNA SNORD115". It matches the Rfam family "Small nucleolar RNA SNORD115". Rfam says of the family: HBII-52 is a member of the C/D class of snoRNAs, which contain the C (UGAUGA) and D (CUGA) box motifs. HBII-52 is encoded in a tandemly repeated array with another C/D snoRNA, HBII-85, in the Prader-Willi syndrome (PWS) region of chromosome 15. The record is from Rfam by way of RNAcentral. RNAcentral also lists the same sequence under 1 other name. Lineage: Eukaryota; Metazoa; Chordata; Mammalia; Primates; Cebidae.
GGGUCGAUGAUGAGAGCCUGCUAUUUCUCUGAAGAGAGGUGAUGACUUAAAAAUCAUGCUCAAUAGGAUUACGCUGAGGCCC